RNAcentral lists this ribosomal RNA (438 nucleotides) under Fermentozyma sake. RNAcentral describes it as "eukaryotic LSU rRNA". It matches the Rfam family "Eukaryotic large subunit ribosomal RNA", at positions 195 to 651 of the family's 3401-position model. Lineage: Eukaryota; Fungi; Ascomycota; Pichiomycetes; Serinales; Debaryomycetaceae. The record is from RNAcentral.
ACAGGACGUCACAGAGGGUGAGAAUCCCGUGCGAUGAGAUGUCCAUUACCGUGUAAAGUGCUUUCGAAGAGUCGAGUUGUUUGGGAAUGCAGCUCUAAGUGGGUGGUAAAUUCCAUCUAAAGCUAAAUAUUGGCGAGAGACCGAUAGCGAACAAGUACAGUGAUGGAAAGAUGAAAAGAACUUUGAAAAGAGAGUGAAAAAGUACGUGAAAUUGUUGAAAGGGAAGGGCUUGAGAUCAGACUUGGUAUUUUGUAUGGCUUGCUUUCGGGCGGGUCCUCUGCAGUUUACUGGGCCAGCAUCGGUUUGGGUGGCAGGAUAAUAGCAUUGGAAUGUGGCUCUACUUCGGUGGAGUGUUAUAGCCUUUGUUGAUACUGCCUGGCUAGACCGAGGACUGCGUCUUUUGACUAGGAUGCUGGCAUAAUGAUCCUAAGCCGCCCG